RNAcentral lists this unclassified non-coding RNA (177 nucleotides) under uncultured fungus. Its description in RNAcentral is "sequence contains ITS1". Lineage: Eukaryota; Fungi. The record is from RNAcentral.
UUUAUUUGUUUUGUAUUUUGUAAACAUUCUUAAACUCGUGUUUUAAAGUGAGUCGGGACGGAUGCGAACAAACGCGCGUCACCGAAUUAAAAGGUGCACAGAGUGGUAAAUGAGGGUUGGGCACUGUAAAGUAGCCCGUGUUCAUUAAUGAUCCUUCCGCAGGUUCACCUACGGAAA